GCCCCCGUAGCUCAGGCGGAUAGAGCACAAGAUUCCUAAUCUUGGUGCCACAGGUUCGAGUCCUGUCGGGGGCACCA
RNAcentral lists this transfer RNA (77 nucleotides) under Desulforhabdus sp. TSK. RNAcentral describes it as "tRNA-Arg". It matches the Rfam family "tRNA". From Rfam's summary of the family: Transfer RNA (tRNA) molecules are approximately 80 nucleotides in length. The record is from RNAcentral. Lineage: Bacteria; Pseudomonadati; Thermodesulfobacteriota; Syntrophobacteria; Syntrophobacterales; Syntrophobacteraceae.